Long non-coding RNA from Nomia melanderi (Alkali bee), 3404 nucleotides. RefSeq lists it as uncharacterized. The record is from RefSeq and is a predicted model, not a curated record. Lineage: Eukaryota; Metazoa; Arthropoda; Insecta; Hymenoptera; Halictidae.
CGGGCUGCAGCACAACUGAUGAGCAUUCCCGAUGAUAGGAAACGCCGGAGGGUAAGGCAUUUUCCGCAGGGCAUACAGAAACUUCCCUCGUCGCACCGCCAGCAGCAGGAUGAUCGUCAUCAGGCACAUUGACAGGGUCAGCGUAACCCAUGAUCCACCCAUAACGAAACUCAUAGCGGACAUCUUCGAACAAUUUCCUCUACAAAAGCUUCUUGCGAUCCGAUCAACGUUUUCGCAUAUUUGCGUGAAAAAUACCGAUUCCUCCUUCUCAGUCAACGAAUUCUAAAGGAAAUUCGAUUCUACUUUAUUCAUUAGAACGAUCCUUUUCCUUUUUCGAGGAGGAAUACUGAGAAUGUCUUGUACACUCUGUUCAAUCACCGAUGAACUGAUCAAUUUCCUUGGCACUUCUGAGGUGUUUCGCCUGGUUCAAUGGGAUUUCUUUCGUUUCUCGGGCUGCAAGAGGCCGUGUCCUCGAAGAUCACGUCGAGAGGGUCGAGUUACCCCCUGAGGUCCGGCUCGGCGUACUAACUAGGUGUCCGCGGAGCGGCGGUCGCGGUGCGCCUCCGAUGAAGUCCGAAGAAGUGGAGGAAAGAGGUUGCCCCGGUCGUGUGCAACGCGUGUCAUGGAAUGACUCCCUCGGUUAUGCGUGCCCGUACGAAACAGUCUCCCUUAUAUACUACUGAAUACUCUGUGUACUACAUCAACGGCCAGUGGUUAACUCUUCCACCAAUAGAAACAAACACGUGGGACGUUCUGCAUGCGUGUAGAGGUGUCGGAUCGUGCGCCCGUACGAAAGGUGCCGGCUCGUUUGUCUCUCCGCGGGACGAGGAAAAUUGAACGCGCUUUCCUGAAAAACGCUGCGAUCGCCGGAAUCGGGAAAUUUCAGUUUUCUUUCGAAUGCCCUUUAGCGAGCACUUAGAAGUAAAACUAGGAGCGUUGAAGUUGCAAAAUUUUGGUUUCUUUUGUCGUCCUGUAGCAAACGCUUUAACCGCAGAAUGAUGAGCGUUGAAAUUUGAAAAUUUCGGUUUCAUUAUUGUCUUAUAAUGGGAACUUCAAAACCAACUGUGAGUGUCGAAAUUUAAAAAUUUGUUUCUUCAUUAUCCUGUAGUGGGUAUUUUGAGAGAAAAAUUGUGCGUCAAAAUUGGAAGAUUCCGAUCUUUUUUAUUAUUCUGUAGUGGAGACUAGAAACAAAACUAUGAGUGCCGAAAUUAGAAAAAUUGAUUUUUUCAUUGACCCCCAGUGAACGCUUUAAAAGCAAUUUUCGUUUUUGCGAAUAGGCAAAUAAUAAUAGCAACACUGAAAGAUAACACUGACUGUACUGAAAAAUAUCAUUACGCAACGAUGCAUCGUUAAUGCGAAGUUAUGCAACUUUCCUCUUCAUUUUGAAGAAUUUGAUGCUUGACACUUGCUACCAGUUCUAUGUACGAAUACUCUUCGGUUCACGUUGACAAGUUCGUUGGCAGUGUUUGCGAUGUUCUGCGAAAUCCGAUGAAUCUUCUGAAUCAAGUACUAUAAAAAUGAACGACACAAGAAAGUCGGGUCCAUUUUCCCGAACAACAAUGGCGUCAGCCAAAUUAAUUCAAAGAAGUACCAAUCCGUCCAACACAGAAGUAUUGCGUUUCAAUCGAGAGCCACGAUGUUGACAUUCAUUCACAAGAAAAGUAUCGAAGACGCCUGCAUAACUGAGCUCCAAAUUCGUAGCAAGAUACCUUUAUCAUCGAAGAUGCAGUGAAUGCUCCUUCCUUUUUAUCACCGUGACGAAACUUUCACAUUAUAUUCCGUGAAUGCGUCGGAAGGUAAACAUGUGCAGUCAAUGCUGCGUUUUUCGGUUCAAAGAUUAUAUCACGCGCGACCGGAGCCACUGCGCGGUUCACUUUCACAGGGAGAAAGUUUCUAUUUUCCGUUUCAACUGUAACAAUUCGGUGUAUCCCUAAAAAAAUCUCGUUUUGACUCCGCGUGUUCGUACCGAGGCAUCCGAUCGUUAAGGAGGACCGCUACAUCGUUACUAAGAUCCACUGCGUUACUGUUAGCAUUUAAUAUUCGCAUUAACGUAAUGUCGAAGUCCAUUAUUGACCACCGAUCACAGACGAAGAUACGAUCCAAGUAUCUUCAACCGGGCACAGUGGAACUUGGGAUUGUCCGAACCAGUUAAACGACUAAUUUGGAAUCUAGGUCCUAGAUAAAGGAAUGGCGUUUAGAAGAAGGAAUUUUGUUGCAAAUUCUUUGAAAGUGAUUCCUUGCGAGAGAAAGAUGGAGUGUGACGCGAAGAACGUUUCUACGACGUAUUAUUUCUUAAAAACAAAUCUCAAAUUUCAGUCGGUAUACCAGAAGAUUUAUCGUCUUUUAGUGAAGAGGAAGAAAGACUUGUUUGAGUUUAAUAAUAAUUAAUGAUUAAUAGUAUUAAUUUGUGAAAUAUAAUAUUAGCUUAGGAUAGCCAUCGUGCCGAUAGCCGAAGUGCCAUCGCACUUGAUGUUGCGUGCAACGUGAUGACCGAUAAUUAAUGAAACAAUGAAAAAUUUAAUCCUUUGCACUCCGAACCACUCUGGACGUUGGCUACCAGCUACUCAGCGCUACUUUGUGGCAGAAACGUGCAUUUACGGACCCUCGUAUUAUUUAAUAUAGUUUUGGAACCAAGUAACGUAUUAUAAUGACAUGGAACUUAUAUGAAUUGGUUAACAUCAAGAAAUGUAUAUUUGCAAAAAAAUCAAUAUUUUAUUUUUUAUAAUUUUGUACAGUGUGAUAAACCGUUCGUCUGUAUCACUUUCAUCGCUAUCGCUAUCGAUGCGAUCUCUUCGUCGCCUUGUUGGUUGGACGAUAUCACUAUCACUGCUAUCGUUUUCUUCUACAUUUAGUCUUUCUAACAUAUCUGUAUAAACGUCUAUCUGGAGCUCAUCUUCACUACUACUUGUGUCAUGAAACUCAUUCGUGUUUGAACGUUUUGUCAUUGUUCUAAUAAAAAGAAAUGAAUAAAUACGUGGGUUGAAAAUUUCUAAUUGUUAUUACUAACUCACAAAAUGAUAUUUACCAAAAGAACUUUUACCAAAAGAAUUUAUUUACAAAGAGAAGAAUCACUUUUCCGAUUUUCUCACUCGUUAGAUCUAUCCAUACCGCUCGACGCUUCAAACCAGACUGAGCUCAACUUUGAAAAUCUUUUCCUCCAGUUUUAAAUUUGUUUAUUUAUAUUUAUAAAUCUCACUAUACAGUGCGAGGUAUACUCGCAUACCGACUUUUCUUCUACAAACUCUCCUUAUCGCCCUUUUCAAGUGGCGCCGAGAAAUGCUCGGACCGUCGUGAGCACGCUUCUCACGUUCUCUUCUGACACAAAACCCGCUGACAAUUUUUUUAUAUACCUCAGUAAUUUUACUAUAUUUUGAUUUGAUUUCUUGUGCCAUUUCAAGAGAAAA